Molecule: long non-coding RNA, 918 nt
Organism: Tympanuchus pallidicinctus (lesser prairie-chicken)
Lineage: Eukaryota; Metazoa; Chordata; Aves; Galliformes; Phasianidae
Exons: 3
Source: RefSeq, a predicted model, not a curated record
CGAAAUGUCAAGGAAUGGCAAACCUCUCUCACCACGAUUUUUUGUUCAGAUUUACACCAACACAAACUUCAAUCUUCUAUUUGCAGCAGGAAAUGGAAGCAGGUAGAAACGAGUCAGCCAAAGUUCUGCAGCAAAUCUGGAGCUGCGUUAGGAUUGAAAGGGAAGAAAAUCCUAACUCCUUCUUAUUCAGACAGACAAAAGACAAGGAACCCAUUGAAAUGCCAUGCACCUUAAGGCAAGUCAAGGUCACUUAUUAUCCCUGACGGUUUCUUCCCUCUGGGAGUAAGCAAAGAAUUUAUCAACUCUGAGACUUUCUUUGUCUUGGGAGAAAGCGAAGCUGGGAGGAAAAAAAAAAAAAAAAAAACUAAAAAGAAAGAAUGAAGAAGAGGUGAUUUUCUGUUUCUCCAUCUGUGUGGGGCUUGAAACUCCAGAAAAAUUCUGUGACAGGCUGGGAAAGAAGUGAGAAUGUUCCUAGGGCCACACCUUUGUAAUCUGCAGUGCAUGCUGCCCUCUCCUACUCCCAGAUAACAGUAAUUGGUUUCAGUUCCUGUAGGUUUUCCGUGUCUUCAGUUAAUAUGCUAAUGAAGGAAUACCUCUUGUUUCAUGUGCUUUUUGGAGAUGUCUCCUCAUUUAGCUUGAUUUUCAAAUAGACUUAAAGCAGAGAAAAUGUGUGUGUGUGUGUAUUCUUGUUAAUAGCAGCAGAUGCAAAUGUACUUCCAAAGUCAAAAUACGUUUAUUUUAAGCUUACUUAUUAAAUGACUAAGUUUCCAAGUUAGAAGAGGUGACUGAUGUAGUUCUGUGGAUGAAUGUGUAACUGUAGCACCUCUUGGGAAGUGCUCUUUCUUUUUUUCAGAGCUCUUUCUCCUGAUGUUGAAAAAGAAAUACAAGUAGGGCAUAAUGAGAUCCCCAGUGCUUAAA